CGCGGGUUGGCGCAGCCCGGUUAGCGCGCUUGGCUCAUAACCAAGAGGUCGGCGGUUCAAAUCCGUCCACCCGCAACCA
Molecule: transfer RNA, 79 nt
Filed under: Nitrosomonadaceae bacterium
Lineage: Bacteria; Pseudomonadati; Pseudomonadota; Betaproteobacteria; Nitrosomonadales; Nitrosomonadaceae
Description: tRNA-Met
Rfam family: tRNA
About the family: Transfer RNA (tRNA) molecules are approximately 80 nucleotides in length. Their secondary structure includes four short double-helical elements and three loops (D, anti-codon, and T loops).
Source: RNAcentral